CAUAAUUUCAAAUUUAGAAGAAAGAUAAAAAUUUUGGUGUGUGUGGAUACGUUUCUCAAAUUAAUUUCUCGCAAAAACAAUAUGACUGUAAAAUUAUUGUGGAAUUGCGCUAGGAUAAUCUUGAUCUCGGGAUUGUCUUUCGGCGUAUAGAUUAGAGAUUGCGCGAAGCACGAAAUCUGGACAAAUAGGAGUUGAAAGUAAAUAGCCUAUGUUCUGCAAUUUGCUACUGGGCAUAGUCACUGGUGCAGCGUUGUUUAUCUGCGUGCCUAUUUGCACUUCUAGAUUGUUGAAGUCUAAGUGUUUAUGCCCAUCUACACCGAUUUGUCCAGAUUGCGGGCUUACUUAUUGAACUGUAAGAUUCUCGGAACACUCAUGUGAAAUGUUACAUUUAACUGUGAGUGAUACAUUUUCCAAAACAAUCUAAAUGACGUAUCCAGAAUGAUUUGCAUGAGUUGUUGCUCUGCAGUAGCUUUAUUUUGUGUGAUCAUUUGCGGACCCGUGUUAUGUGAGAGAAUGAUAUGCUGUAUUAAUCAAGGAAAGAAAAAGAAGCGUUGACAAAUUGUGGGAGUUGGUAUCUUAUGAUUUGUAUAUCACUGCUGAGUCUAUUCAGCGCCGCCGCGUUGGUGAUUUGUGUGCCAUUUUGUGCUCAAACUCUGCUCCAGCGCAAGUGUUCCUGCCCUCCUGUACCUAUUUGUCCAGACUGUGGAAUCCCUUACUAAAAUCAUUAAGAAUUUACAAAUUCACAUCUUUUUUUUAAGUUCUAACACAUUUUUGAGACGUAUUUUUAUUUUGUAACCCAAGUUUCUUGGCUACACCAAAAAUCAAGCAUUCUAAAGUUUUUAUAUCACCAUUUGCAUCGCAUUUUGUAUUUCAAAAUGAUUUGCAUGACUUGUGCCACCGCUGUCGCCGCUGUAGGUUUCAUUGCUUUAGGCCCUUUGAUUUGUGAAAAAUGGUUAAAAUGUUUGAUGAAAAGCAAGAAGUAGGAGCAGUAAAUUGAUGAUGAACGUAUGGUUUACAUAUCUUUCAUCGGGAUAUUGGGAGCGGCGGCUGUGUUCAUCUGCCUGAGCUUGGGCAGGCAGUACCUCUCCGGCAAAGAGGACGACGAGGGUUGCUGCGUCCAACGUACGUGCGGAAAAUGAUAAGGAACCUUUAACGACCACUGCCAAUAAAUACGGCAGUAGAUUCUUUGGGACAAGUCAAAGAAUAUUCUAGAAGAUGAUUUGCAUGAGCUUUGCAACUGCCAUUACAGCCGCCGGCUUCAUCGUCAUCGGUCCACUACUCUGCGAGAAAUUCCUCCACUGUUUCAUGAAGUCCAAGAAGUGACCGUCUAGUUUCGUUAUCUGAGGUCAAUAGUGAUUUAUGUAAAAUUUCGUGUGAUGUAAUAAAUGAAAUUGCUCAAAA
This is a long non-coding RNA of Ostrinia nubilalis (European corn borer), 1401 nucleotides long. RefSeq lists it as uncharacterized. The record is from RefSeq and is a predicted model, not a curated record. Lineage: Eukaryota; Metazoa; Arthropoda; Insecta; Lepidoptera; Crambidae. The transcript has 4 exons.